UGGGGAAUAUUGCACAAUGGGCGCAAGCCUGAUGCAGCCAUGCCGCGUGUAUGAAGAAGGCCUUCGGGUUGUAAAGUACUUUCAGUCGGGAGGAAGGUGGUAAGGUUAAUAACCUUAUCAAUUGACGUUACCGACAGAAGAAGCACCGGCUAACUCCGUGCUAGCAGCCGCGGUAAUACGGAGGGUGCAAGCGUUAAUCGGAAUUACUGGGCGUAAAGCGCACGCAGGCGGUUGAUUGAGUCAGAUGUGAAAUCCCCGGGCUUAACCCGGGAAUUGCAUCUGAUACUGGUCAGCUAGAGUCUUGUAGAGGGGGGUAGAAUUCCAUGUGUAGCGGUGAAAUGCGUAGAGAUGUGGAGGAAUACCGGUGGCGAAGGCGGCCCCCUGGACAAAGACUGACGCUCAGGUGCGAAAGCGUGGGGAGCAAACAGG
RNAcentral lists this ribosomal RNA (429 nucleotides) under Chloroflexota bacterium. RNAcentral describes it as "Chloroflexi bacterium partial 16S ribosomal RNA". It matches the Rfam family "Bacterial small subunit ribosomal RNA", at positions 355 to 776 of the family's 1533-position model. The record is from RNAcentral. Lineage: Bacteria; Bacillati; Chloroflexota.